Molecule: long non-coding RNA, 256 nt
Filed under: Brassica rapa (field mustard)
Lineage: Eukaryota; Viridiplantae; Streptophyta; Magnoliopsida; Brassicales; Brassicaceae
Description: long non-coding RNA (BRAP_LNC008431)
Source: RNAcentral
CCGUUUUUCUUUUUGACUACUACGGGGUUGGCGAGCCAGUCCGGGUAUCUUACUUCCGUUAUCGACCCAACUUUAAGCAGUUUUUCGACCUCAUCGUUUACUGCGGCAGCACGUUCGGGUCCCAGCUUCCGUCUUUUCUGUUUGACGGGUUUGAAUGUUGGGUCGAUAUUCAGCUCGUGACAUGUUAUGUUAAUGUCGAUUCCUGGCAUAUCUUCCGCAGCCCAUGCGAAAGUAUUAAGGUUCUUUUUAAGACAGG